RNAcentral lists this ribosomal RNA (253 nucleotides) under uncultured bacterium. Its description in RNAcentral is "partial 16S ribosomal RNA". It matches the Rfam family "Bacterial small subunit ribosomal RNA", at positions 524 to 776 of the family's 1533-position model. The record is from RNAcentral.
GACAGAGGAUGCAAGCGUUAUCCGGAAUGAUUGGGCGUAAAGCGUCUGUAGGUGGCUUUUUAAGUUCGCCGUCAAAUCCCAGGGCUCAACCCUGGACAGGUGGUGGAAACUACCAAGCUAGAGUACGGUAGGGGCAGAGGGAAUUUCCGGUGGAGCGAUGAAAUGCGUAGAGAUCGGAAGGAACACCCAAGGCGAAAGCGCUCUGCUGGGCCGACACUGACACUGAGAGACGAAAGCUAGGGGAGCAAAUGGG